GAGGGUAUAGCUCAAUGGUAGAGUGUAUACCUAGCAUGCAUGAGGCCCUGGGUUCAAUCCCUGGUACCUCCA
Camelus ferus (Wild Bactrian camel) is the source of this 72-nucleotide transfer RNA. It matches the Rfam family "tRNA". From Rfam's summary of the family: Transfer RNA (tRNA) molecules are approximately 80 nucleotides in length. Their secondary structure includes four short double-helical elements and three loops (D, anti-codon, and T loops). The record is from Rfam. Lineage: Eukaryota; Metazoa; Chordata; Mammalia; Artiodactyla; Camelidae.